Molecule: ribosomal RNA, 1435 nt
Filed under: uncultured organism
Description: 16S ribosomal RNA
Rfam family: Bacterial small subunit ribosomal RNA
Source: RNAcentral
AACGCUAGCUACAGGCUUAACACAUGCAAGUCGAGGGGCAGCAUUUCAGUUUGCUUGCAAACUGGAGAUGGCGACCGGCGCACGGGUGAGUAACACGUAUCCAACCUGCCGAUAACUCGGGGAUAGCCUUUCGAAAGAAAGAUUAAUACCCGAUGGCAUAAUUAGACCGCAUGGUCUUAUUAUUAAAGAAUUUCGGUUAUCGAUGGGGAUGCGUUCCAUUAGGCAGUUGGUGAGGUAACGGCUCACCAAACCUUCGAUGGAUAGGGGUUCUGAGAGGAAGGUCCCCCACAUUGGAACUGAGACACGGUCCAAACUCCUACGGGAGGCAGCAGUGAGGAAUAUUGGUCAAUGGACGAGAGUCUGAACCAGCCAAGUAACGUGAAGGAUGACUGCCCUAUGGGUUGUAAACUUCUUUUAUAUGGGAAUAAAGUUUUCCACGUGUGGAAUUUUGUAUGUACCAUAUGAAUAAAGAUCGGCUAACUCCGUGCCAGCAGCCGCGGUAAUACGGAGGAUCCGAGCGUUAUCCGGAUUUAUUGGGUUUAAAGGGAGCGUAGGUGGACAGUUAAGUCAGUUGUGAAAGUUUGCGGCUCAACCGUAAAAUUGCAGUUGAUACUGGCUGUCUUGAGUACAGUAGAGGUGGGCGGAAUUCGUGGUGUAGCGGUGAAAUGCUUAGAUAUCACGAAGAACUCCGAUUGCGAAGGCAGCUCACUGGACUGCAACUGACACUGAUGCUCGAAAGUGUGGGUAUCAAACAGGAUUAGAUACCCUGGUAGUCCACACAGUAAACGAUGAAUACUCGCUGUUUGCGAUAUACAGUAAGCGGCCAAGCGAAAGCAUUAAGUAUUCCACCUGGGGAGUACGCCGGCAACGGUGAAACUCGAAGGAAUUGACGGGGGCCCGCACAAGCGGAGGAACAUGUGGUUUAAUUCGAUGAUACGCGAGGAACCUUACCCGGGCUUAAAUUGCAUUUGAAUAAUCUGGAAACAGGUUAGCCGCAAGGCAAAUGUGAAGGUGCUGCAUGGUUGUCGUCAGCUCGUGCCGUGAGGUGUCGGCUUAAGUGCCAUAACGAGCGCAACCCUUAUCUUUAGUUACUAACAGGUCAUGCUGAGGACUCUAGAGAGACUGCCGUCGUAAGAUGUGAGGAAGGUGGGGAUGACGUCAAAUCAGCACGGCCCUUACGUCCGGGGCUACACACGUGUUACAAUGGGGGGUACAGAAGGCAGCUACCUGGUGACAGGAUGCUGAUCCCAAAAGCCUCUCUCAGUUCGGAUCGAAGUCUGCAACCCGACUUCGUGAAGCUGGAUUCGCUAGUAAUCGCGCAUCAGCCAUGGCGCGGUGAAUACGUUCCCGGGCCUUGUACACACCGCCCGUCAAGCCAUGAAAGCCGGGGGUACCUGAAGUACGUAACCGCAAGGAGCGUCCUAGGGUAAAACUG